Molecule: long non-coding RNA, 1124 nt
Organism: Thunnus maccoyii (southern bluefin tuna)
Lineage: Eukaryota; Metazoa; Chordata; Actinopteri; Scombriformes; Scombridae
Exons: 2
Source: RefSeq, a predicted model, not a curated record
AAACUCCUUCUCCGAUCGUAGCUUAGCAUCAAGCUUUGGAUUUCUCUGCAGCGGUGUGCAAGUGACACUCUGCAGUUUGGAGGGAUCCUCUGCCGGCUCUGUGGUAAUGAUCAGAUUAGAAGGUUCUGGGUUUGAUAGCAGCUCAGGGCAGUGCUCCUCAUGAUAAUAAUAAUAAUAAUAAUGAUAAUAAUAAUUGUUUUAUAUGUCUAUCAUGUACCAUAAUUCAAUGUGACUCCAGCAUCCUUUAAUAUUAUAAGAAUGCUUUUGUUUUGUUUUUCAAUAGUUAUUUUGUAAAUGUGAAUAUUAGUAAGGUUAAAUUGUACAUAUUUUCUAAAUCUAUUGUGGGAUUAACUGUGUGCCCUUCACUGUUUUCUGGUGUUGGUAGAGAUGUUGGUAGGUUGGGAGGCACCUGUGAGACGGUGUUUGUUGUCCAUCAGGCUGCUACGUGUUUGAACUUUUUCUAAAUUUAUGGUCACUCGUAAAAAAAAAAAAAAAUCCCUGCUUGACUGUUGCUCCUCAUUUCUCAUCACUCUUUAUACCUCAGUCUGCUGACUUUGAUCCUGUUUGUAAGGUUUCACCACCAUCAAAACCUUUGACUGACCUUACUGUUUGCUGUGUCACAUGUUUGACAUAUGAGUCAUAGGAGCCAUUAAGGGCAACAUACAGCUGCUGCCAGUCUGUUGAUUGAGGCUGCAAAAGGCUGAGUGUGUCCUCCUGAUAAGAUCCCGCCGCUUCUGUGUUUAGUCACCUCAAACCUUCAGGUGUCACUGACAAAGCAAAACUGCCUUUGUCUCACAAACACAAACAAACAAACAACACACACAGAAACAUCACAUACUGAGAUGCACUGAAUCCCACCUGCAGGCUACCUGUCAGUAUUUCUUCAGCAGUGCAGCUGAUGCUUUUCUUGGUAAACAUGAUGACAGCAAGGCUCGUAUAGUUGUUUGAUUUCACUACUUCCUGUUUACCCAAGACUCACGUGCAUCUCUGCUUUGAGCAUCCGAUCACUUGAUGUAACUCGGUAGGAAAGUUGUGUGUUCACGUCCCCACAGAGACAGAAGAAUCGUUCAUUUAUGUUUAAACCUCAAAAACACCUGAGUACAAUAAAUCACAUGAUGAACGUC